UUCUCUUUGAUGAUCUAUUUAUGUUUAUCUGAUUAUUAUUAGAAUCCAUCUGGGCUCUUCUUCAGUUAGUCUUUCAAGUCAUUCGUCUCCAAGAUUCGACAUUUCAUUCCUCACUCUAACCCCGUUCAUUUGUCUUGCAGAUUACUUCUCUAUCCACUUUCUUCUUUCCGCAGUCACACUCCACGCCGGCUUGCUUAUUUUCUCACCAAAUCGUCGACAUCGAUUGUUGGUUUUCAGUUGCCAACGCCGAUCGCCAAUUAUUUACAGUAAAGGGUCGCCGCCGAUAAGUCCUCAAUCUUAAAGCUGUAUCACUUCCAAGGUUCAUAUUUUUUUUCUUUUGGGUUUUUCUUGGCUACACAUAUAGUCAUUUGAGCUUUGAAGCCAUCUUUGGUUGAUUAGUAUUGCGAUUGUUGUAUAAAUUGUGGUUUUUUCUUUAUUUCGAUAUGGUCAUUUGAGCUUGGGACCAAUUUUUGGUUGAUUAUUAUAAGAUUUUUUUGGGGGGUAAUUUGUCGAAGGUUUUUGGAUGGGUUCGAAGCCGUGGCUGUAUCCAGUGUUGGGAAUCUACUUAUACAUGUAUAGCGAAAAAUUAAAAUUAUUUCAAUUCCCACCGAGGAUCCCUUUGUGUUUAGAUAAAAAUCGUGAUAAAGAUUGUAUUUUUUAAGAAUUCUACAAACAUUUUGCUUUUCUUUUUCUCCCUGCAAUAUUGAUUCGUCAUCC
This 717-nucleotide long non-coding RNA is filed under the name Olea europaea (common olive). RNAcentral's name for it is "long non-coding RNA (OEUR_LNC007124)". Lineage: Eukaryota; Viridiplantae; Streptophyta; Magnoliopsida; Lamiales; Oleaceae. The record is from RNAcentral.